GGAGGGGGCGAGCGUUAUUCGGAAUUAUUGGGCGUAAAGGGCAGGUAGGCGGCUUUGUGUGUCCUCUGUGAAAGCCCUCGGCUCAACCGAGGAAUUGCAGGGGAAACUGCAGAGCUUGAGUCCGGGAGAGGCUAGUGGAAUUCCCAGUGUAGCGGUGAAAUGCGUAGAUAUUGGGAGGAACACCAGUGGCGAAGGCGGCUAGCUGGACCGGUACUGACGCUGAUCUGCGAAAGCUAGGGGAGCAAACGGGGGAUUAGAUACCCCGGUAGUCCUGGCUGUAAACGCUGAGCACUUGGUGUGGCGGGUACCGACCCCCUGCCGUGCCGGAGCUAACGCAUUAAGUGCUCCGCCUGGGGAUACGGUCGCAAGGCUG
RNAcentral lists this ribosomal RNA (373 nucleotides) under uncultured organism. Its description in RNAcentral is "partial 16S ribosomal RNA". It matches the Rfam family "Bacterial small subunit ribosomal RNA", at positions 527 to 896 of the family's 1533-position model. The record is from RNAcentral.